Molecule: unclassified non-coding RNA, 156 nt
Filed under: uncultured Ascomycota
Lineage: Eukaryota; Fungi; Ascomycota
Description: sequence contains ITS2
Source: RNAcentral
CAAAACCCUCAAGCUCAGCUUGGUGUUGGGUCAUCGCCCCGUGUGGGGUGGACCUGAAAAUCAGUGGCGGUGUCACCUGGACUCAAGCGUAGUAGGCACUCACGCUCUGAAGGUGCAGGCUUUGACCACCGGCCAAGCAACCCCUAUCUUCAAUGA